RNAcentral lists this ribosomal RNA (384 nucleotides) under Pangio kuhlii (coolie loach). RNAcentral's name for it is "partial 16S ribosomal RNA". It matches the Rfam family "Bacterial large subunit ribosomal RNA", at positions 1940 to 2473 of the family's 2925-position model. Lineage: Eukaryota; Metazoa; Chordata; Actinopteri; Cypriniformes; Cobitidae. The record is from RNAcentral.
UUUUGACCGUGCAAAGGUAGCGCAAUCACUUGUCUUUUAAAUGAAGACCUGUAUGAAUGGCCAAACGAGGGCUUAACUGUCUCCCAUCUCAAGUCAGUGAAAUUGAUCUGCCCGUGCAGAAGCGGACAUAAAAGUACAAGACGAGAAGACCCUUUGGAGCUUAAGGUACAAACCCAAUCGCGUCAAACAGCUUACCCAAUAAGCUCCAAACCUAGCGAAAUAUGGAAUUUUACCUUCGGUUGGGGCGACCACGGAGAAAAAACUAUCCUCCGAGUGGACCGGGUUAACUUAACCUAAAACUAAGAGAGACAUCUCUAAGUCACAGAACAUCUGACCAAUAAUGAUCCGGCCAUAGGCCGAUCAACGGACCAAGUUACCCUAGGG